This 442-nucleotide ribosomal RNA is filed under the name uncultured bacterium. Its description in RNAcentral is "partial 16S ribosomal RNA". It matches the Rfam family "Bacterial small subunit ribosomal RNA", at positions 338 to 795 of the family's 1533-position model. The record is from RNAcentral.
CCUACGGGAGGCAGCAGUGGGGAAUAUUGGGCAAUGGGCGCAAGCCUGACCCAGCAACGCCGCGUGAAGGAAGAAGGCUUUCGGGUUGUAAACUUCUUUUGUCAGGGAAGAGUAGAAGACGGUACCUGACGAAUAAGCCACGGCUAACUACGUGCCAGCAGCCACGGUAAUACGUAGGUGGCAAGCGUUGUCCGGAUUUAAUGGGUGGAACGGGCGUGUAUCCGGGUUGACAAGUCAGAGGUGAAAUCCUGCGGCUUAACCGGAGAACUGCAUUUGAAACUGUUGAACUUGAGUACUGGAGAGGCAGACGGAAUUCCUAGUGUAGCGGUGAAAUGCGUAGAUAUUAGGAGGAACACCAGUGGCGAAGGCGGUCUGCUGGACAGCAACUGACGGUGAGGCGCGAAAGCGUGGGGAGCAAACAGGAUUAGAUACCCUUGUAGUC